UACGUAGGGGGCAAGCGUUGUCCGGAAUCAUUGGGCGUAAAGAGCGUGUAGGCGGCCCGGUAAGUCCGCUGUGAAAGUCCAGGGCUCAACCCUGGGAUGCCGGUGGAUACUGUCGGGCUCGAGUCCGGAAGAGGAGUGUGGAAUUCCUGGUGUAGCGGUGAAAUGCGCAGAUAUCAGGAGGAACACCGAUGGCGAAGGCAGUGUUCUGGGCCAGUACUGACGCUGAGGAGCGAAAGCGUGGGGAGCAAACAGG
Molecule: ribosomal RNA, 253 nt
Filed under: uncultured bacterium
Lineage: Bacteria
Description: partial 16S ribosomal RNA
Rfam family: Bacterial small subunit ribosomal RNA
Source: RNAcentral